Molecule: ribosomal RNA, 252 nt
Filed under: uncultured bacterium
Lineage: Bacteria
Description: partial 16S ribosomal RNA
Rfam family: Bacterial small subunit ribosomal RNA
Source: RNAcentral
UACGUAGGUCCCGAGCGUUGUCCGGAUUUAUUGGGCGUAAAGCGAGCGCAGGUGGUUUAUUAAGUCUGGUGUAAAAGGCAGUGGCUCAACCAUUGUAUGCAUUGGAAACUGGUGGACUUGAGUGCAGGAGAGGAGAGUGUAAUUCCAUGUGUAGCGGUGAAAUGCGUAGAUAUAUGGAGGAACACCGGUGGCGAAAGCGGCUCUCUGGCCUGUAACUGACACUGAGGCUCGAAAGCGUGGGGAGCAAACAGG